ACGCUCGACACCUAGGAGGCAGCAGUGGGGAAUAUUGCACAAUGGGGGAAACCCGUGAUGCAGCGACGCCGCGUGAGCGAAGAAGUAUUUCGGUAUGUAAAGCUCUAUCAGCAGGGAAGAUAAUGACGGUACCUGACUAAGAAGCUCCGGCUAAAUACGCGCCAGCAGCCGCGGUAAUCUGAGCGGGCUGGCAAGGC
This 197-nucleotide ribosomal RNA is filed under the name uncultured bacterium. RNAcentral's name for it is "partial 16S ribosomal RNA". It matches the Rfam family "Bacterial small subunit ribosomal RNA", at positions 328 to 539 of the family's 1533-position model. The record is from RNAcentral.